UGGGGAAUAUUGGACAAUGGGCGCAAGCCUGAUCCAGCCAUGCCGCGUGUGUGAAGAAGGCCUUCGGGUUGUAAAGCACUUUUGUACGGGAAGAAAAGCUCUGGGUUAAUACCCUGGAGUCAUGACGGUACCGUAAGAAUAAGCACCGGCUAACUUCGUGCCAGCAGCCGCGGUAAUACGAAGGGUGCAAGCGUUACUCGGAAUUACUGGGCGUAAAGCGUGCGUAGGUGGUUUGUUAAGUCUGAUGUGAAAGCCCUGGGCUCAACCUGGGAAUUGCAUUGGAUACUGGCAGUCUAGAGUGCGGUAGAGGGUAGCGGAAUUCCCGGUGUAGCAGUGAAAUGCGUAGAUAUCGGGAGGAACAUCCGUGGCGAAGGCGGCUACCUGGACCAGCACUGACACUGAGGCACGAAAGCGUGGGGAGCAAACAG
Molecule: ribosomal RNA, 428 nt
Filed under: uncultured bacterium
Lineage: Bacteria
Description: bacterial SSU rRNA
Rfam family: Bacterial small subunit ribosomal RNA
Source: RNAcentral